Long non-coding RNA from Homarus americanus (American lobster), 1015 nucleotides. RefSeq lists it as uncharacterized. Lineage: Eukaryota; Metazoa; Arthropoda; Malacostraca; Decapoda; Nephropidae. The transcript is spliced from 5 exons. The record is from RefSeq and is a predicted model, not a curated record.
GUCCUGGGGCUAGACAUGAGGAGUAUGUUUUUUAUAAUAGUAAUACACAAAGGUAACUGUAACACUUAAUACCAUGUUUGCUAUUAUCCAAAGUAGUUGCUCUACACACUGUACAUUCCUCCAUAUUUACAGGAGGAGAGUUUACUGACAGUCUGAAGGUACUCUCCUGAAUGUCAUGAACGUCAUUUAUAAAAGAUUCGCUAAAGAAUUUUAGAGAAACUACAUAGACCAGAUUCUACAGAGUUCAUCAGUUUUAUAGUAGGAGUACAGUACUGAGAACAAGAAGUGAACAUCUGCCAAACAUAAAGGGCCCAGUGGAGGAGGUGCACAGUACAGGAAGACUUACCUCGUUGGCAGCUGAUAAUGAUUCUUCACUGGCCAAGCUGAAGCAGUUGUUGGCUCUGACAGUGUGGCCUGGAAUGGAAGUCACUCGGUACGUCACCCGGUGGACCGGUUCCAGCGCAGCGCUACAGUAAGCCGAACUCCACCCCCCAGUCACUGCCUCCAAACCAAGAGCCUCUAACCCAGGUGACACACUCUGCACCUUACCAAGUUGGUGGAAGCUGAGGUGAUAUUGGACACACAGCUGGCAUAUAACCAGCUGCCCUACAUGGAAGCGCUGGUGUUGUGUUCAGCCGUGGCAACCAAACAAAGUGACCGGAAGAAGCUGGUGACUGACGCUCACUCGACAGUGUGGGAGCUGUGUACAGACACCCACCUCUUCUUUCUCUUCAUUCAAAUAUCUAAGAUGAUCUCAAAGCAAGCGGGACACUCGGGUUGGGGUCGUGGGCUGUGUGGUACCUGAGCUGGGAGCCUCGACGCCUUGGAGUUCACACGACACUACAGCGCGUACUGGUGGACCCACCGCGACGUCGUCAGAUUAGCACACUUGAAGCUUCGUGUUGGUCACACAAAAUAUAUAUAUGUGUAUAUAUAUUAGUUCUUGAUUUGAUAAGUGGCAGGACUGAAGUAAACACUUUAUUGGUUUUAUUUUAUUGUAGAAAAAUAUAGUUUC